AUUGAACGCUGGCGGAAUGCUUUACACAUGCAAGUCGAGCGGCAGCACGGACUUCGGUCUGGUGGCGAGUGGCGAACGGGUGAGUAAUGUAUCGGAACGUGCCCAGUCGUGGGGGAUAACGUAGUGAAAAUUACGCUAAUACCGCAUACGAUCUAUGGAUGAAAGCGGGGGAUCGCAAGACCUCGCGCGAUUGGAGCGGCCGAUAUCAGAUUAGGUAGUUGGUGGGGUAAAGGCCCACCAAGCCAACGAUCUGUAGCUGGUCUGAGAGGACGACCAGCCACGCUGGAACUAGGACACGGUCCAGACUCCUACGGGAGGCAGCAGUGGGGAAUUUUGGACAAUGGGCGAAAGCCUGAUCCAGCCAUUCCGCGUGCAGGAUGAAGGCCCUCGGGUUGUAAACUGCUUUUGUACAGAACGAAAAGGUUUCUACUAAUACUAGGAGCUCAUGACGGUACUGUAAGAAUAAGCACCGGCUAACUACGUGCCAGCCGCCGCAGUAA
Molecule: ribosomal RNA, 500 nt
Filed under: uncultured bacterium
Lineage: Bacteria
Description: partial 16S ribosomal RNA
Rfam family: Bacterial small subunit ribosomal RNA
Source: RNAcentral